Molecule: ribosomal RNA, 253 nt
Filed under: uncultured bacterium
Lineage: Bacteria
Description: partial 16S ribosomal RNA
Rfam family: Bacterial small subunit ribosomal RNA
Source: RNAcentral
UACGUGAGGUGCGAGCGUUGUCCGGAAUUAUUGGGCGUAAAGAGCUUGUAGGCGGUUUGUCGCGUCUGCUGUGAAAUUCCAGGGCUUAACCCUGGGCUUGCAGUGGGUACGGGCAGACUAGAGUGUGGUAGGGGAGACUGGAAUUCCUGGUGUAGCGGUGAAAUGCGCAGAUAUCAUUUGGAACGCCAAUGGUGAAAACAGGUAGCUGGGGCUGUGCUGACACUGAGACACGAAAGCCAGGGGAGCGAACGGG